This 404-nucleotide ribosomal RNA is filed under the name uncultured bacterium. RNAcentral's name for it is "bacterial SSU rRNA". It matches the Rfam family "Bacterial small subunit ribosomal RNA", at positions 371 to 785 of the family's 1533-position model. The record is from RNAcentral.
AUGGGGGGAACCCUGAUCCAGCGACGCCGCGUGAGUGAAGAAGUAUUUCGGUAUGUAAAGCUCUAUCAGCAGGGAAGAAAGAAAUGACGGUACCUGACUAAGAAGCCCCGGCUAACUACGUGCCAGCAGCCGCGGUAAUACGUAGGGGGCAAGCGUUAUCCGGAUUUACUGGGUGUAAAGGGAGCGUAGACGGCAAGGCAAGUCUGAUGUGAAAGGUCGGGGCCCAACCCCGGGACUGCAUUGGAAACUGUCUGGCUGGAGUACAGGAGAGGUAAGUGGAAUUCCUAGUGUAGCGGUGAAAUGCGUAGAUAUUAGGAGGAACACCAGUGGCGAAGGCGGCUUACUGGACUGUAACUGACGUUGAGGCUCGAAAGCGUGGGGAGCAAACAGGAUUAAGCCGAAUU